UGGUACGAGCUCGAUCACUAUACGGCCGCCAUGUGCUGGAAUCGCCCUUAAGUUUGAUCCUGGCUCAGGACGAACGCUGGCGNGCGCCUUAUGCAUGCAAGUCGAGCGAAGCUUUUCAGUAGUUUACUACAGAAAAUGACUGAGCGGCGAACGGGUGAGUAACGCGUGAGCAAUCUACCUUAGUUACAGGGAUAGCCCGAGGAAACUCGGAUUAAUACCUGAUAUUCUUUAUAUUUCGCAUGAAAUUAAAAGGAAAGGUCAGCCGAACUAAGAUGAGCUCGCGUUCUAUCAGCUAGUUGGUGAGGUAAAAGCUCACCAAGGCUACGACGGAUAGCUGGUCUGAGAGGACGAUCAGCCACACUGGGACUGAGACACGGCCCAGACUCCUACGGGAGGCUGCAGCAGGGAAUAUUGCGCAAUGAGCGAAAGCUUGACGCAGCGACACCGCGUGUGGGAUGACGGAUCUAGGUUUGUAAACCACUUUCAGGAGGGAAGAAAAUGACGGUACCUCCACAAGAAGCCCCGGC
RNAcentral lists this ribosomal RNA (527 nucleotides) under uncultured bacterium. RNAcentral describes it as "bacterial SSU rRNA". It matches the Rfam family "Bacterial small subunit ribosomal RNA", at positions 1 to 497 of the family's 1533-position model. The record is from RNAcentral.